AUCAGAAGUGCGAAUGCUGACAUAAGUAACGAUAAAGCGGGUGAAAAGCCCGCUCGCCGGAAGACCAAGGGUUCCUGUCCAACGUUAAUCGGGGCAGGGUGAGUCGACCCCUAAGGCGAGGCCGAAAGGCGUAGUCGAUGGGAAACAGGUUAAUAUUCCUGUACUUGGUGUUACUGCGAAGGGGGGACGGAGAAGGCUAUGUUAGCCGGGCGACGGUUGUCCCGGUUUAAGCAUGUAGGCUGGUUAUCCAGGCAAAUCCGGAUAAUCAAGGCUGA
RNAcentral lists this ribosomal RNA (275 nucleotides) under Klebsiella pneumoniae subsp. pneumoniae. RNAcentral's name for it is "partial 23S ribosomal RNA". It matches the Rfam family "Bacterial large subunit ribosomal RNA", at positions 1281 to 1559 of the family's 2925-position model. Lineage: Bacteria; Pseudomonadati; Pseudomonadota; Gammaproteobacteria; Enterobacterales; Enterobacteriaceae. The record is from RNAcentral.